AGCGAACGCUGGCGGCAGGCCUAAAACAUGCAAGUCGAACGGAUCCUUCGGGAUUAGUGGCGGACGGGUGAGUAACACGUGGGAACGUGCCUUUUGGUUCGGAACAACUCAGGGAAACUUGAGCUAAUACCGAAUGUGCCCUUCGGGGGAAAGAUUUAUCGCCAUUAGAGCGGCCCGCGUCUGAUUAGCUUGUUGGUGAGGUAAAGGCUCACCAAGGCGACGAUCAGUAGCUGGUCUGAGAGGAUGAUCAGCCACACUGGGACUGAGACACGGCCCAGACUCCUACGGGAGGCAGCAGUUAGGAAUCUUGCGCAAUGGGGGAAACCCUGACGCAGCCAUGCCGCGUGAAUGAUGAAGGUCUUAGGAUUGUAAAAUUCUUUCAGCGGGGACGAUAAUGACGGUACCCGCAGAAGAAGCCCCGGCUAACUUCGUG
This 433-nucleotide ribosomal RNA is filed under the name uncultured bacterium. RNAcentral describes it as "bacterial SSU rRNA". It matches the Rfam family "Bacterial small subunit ribosomal RNA", at positions 29 to 507 of the family's 1533-position model. The record is from RNAcentral.